UGAGGAAUGGAGCCGGCCUUCUAUAGACUAAGACCUCUGAAAGUGGGAGCACACAGAUAAACUUGUCUUCCCUAAAAUUUUUCUGGUCAGAUCUUUUAGCCACAGCAGAAAAACAAAACAAAACAACAACAAUAAUAAUAAUAAUAAUAAAACCUGACUGAAACAGUCACACUAAUAGUAAAUAGAUAGGAUCCAAACUCUGAUGUUUCUAGUUCAAAACCCACGGUCAUAUAUCAACUUUAUGCUUAACAUUAACAUAAAAGUAUAAAAAUAGUGAAAAGCCAAGUCAUGAGUUUAGAUUACUUAGGUCACCCCAGUUUCCCAUGGAAGCUAAGGGUUUAUUCCUCUUUGCACACUGAACAUUUUGUGUGGACCAGGACUGAACCCACCUGUCACUAAGCUGAUGGGCUGUGACAAGGGCCUAUCUUCAACCAAAGGCCACUGGAUCCCAAGUUGUAUCACUCAUCUCGAGCUCAGGAAGGAAGCCAUCUUCUAGGGGCUCAGAAGGUAAUAGCUGUGCCCAUCUGGGGUGGGGGGUGUGGCUCUCCAGGGGGAGGGUGAGCAACUUCUGUCUGUCAAGUCGAACCUUGAAGGAAAGCAAGUCAACAUUCAAAGCCCUGAGGGCUGAAAAAGAUGCUGCCCAGCCAGGCACAUCCUUGGGUGUCUCAUCUAAAAGUAAAACCUCCUUCACCAAUCAGGUGCCCCAAAUCCUUUUAGCCAGGUGGCUGUUUGCACCAAAGCUGGGGACAUUAAAGUUUUCUUAUUAAGUGUGUAUGUGGGUCCAAUCAAGUGACCUUUGGGAGAAUUAAUCCAC
This 814-nucleotide long non-coding RNA is filed under the name Marmota monax (woodchuck). Lineage: Eukaryota; Metazoa; Chordata; Mammalia; Rodentia; Sciuridae. The record is from RNAcentral.